This 301-nucleotide ribosomal RNA is filed under the name uncultured bacterium. RNAcentral's name for it is "partial 16S ribosomal RNA". It matches the Rfam family "Bacterial small subunit ribosomal RNA", at positions 509 to 807 of the family's 1533-position model. The record is from RNAcentral.
CAGUCGCCGCGGGAAUACGUAGGGUGCGAGCGUUAAUCGGAAUUACUGGGCGUAAAGCGUGCGCAGGCGGUUUUGUAAGACAGGCGUGAAAUCCCCGGGCUCAACCUGGGAAUGGCGCUUGUGACUGCAAAGCUAGAGUGCGGCAGAGGGGGAUGGAAUUCCGCGUGUAGCAGUGAAAUGCGUAGAUAUGCGGAGGAACACCGAUGGCGAAGGCAAUCCCCUGAGCCUGCACUGACGCUCAUGCACGAAAGCGUGGGGAGCAAACAGGAUUAGAUACCCCCGUAGUCCCUGUCUCUUAUAC